ACUGCGGUUGAAAGGCGGCGUGGGCGGCGGACCCGCGCUCUGCAGCCGAGCUGGUGCGGGGAGGGCUGCGCGCGGGGGCUGGCUGUGGAGCAGCACCGCAGUGAGGAGUUAGCCCAAGGAAAAUCAGAUUAAAGGAAACUGCCUAGAGAUGCCACUGCAGCGUGCCCGGGUAGUCCUGUUGGCAGCCUGCCCCUAUGCAGCUUUUGGCAAUACAGAACAGCUUCUUGGUAUUUGGAGAUUUUGUUUCUCGGGGGAAAUAAAUAAUACUGAUAACAUUAAGGAUUCAGAAAAUUUAAAGCAGACAGCCGACUUGCCGCGAAGACGCUUCGUUCUUCGCCUAAUAGCUACUUGGUGUCUUUACUUCAUUUGGCCAACACAUAACACUGCAGCUCUCCACGCCACUGUGGUAUAUCCACUUGUUAGAUAGUCCUGAGGUAGUUCUAGCCCAAGUGUUUCUGCUGAUCUAAUCUGGGGGGAAUUGGCGCGAGUAAUUAUUCUGUUACGAUUUUGCGCAAUACUUACUGAAUGAUAAACAUGUAUUUUCUCGUGGGGCGGGGCAGGGGCUCCCACGUGAGAAGGCUGUAACAGACAGACAGCAGCCACGAUGAAACACGCUGAAAAGAGCCAGCAGAAAAAAACGAGGAGAGACUGGUAUGACGGAGUGGAAUUCCGGUUGUGGAUGACAGAAUGGAAAUUUUACGCAAGAUGAAAGAGUUAAGACAAAUUACUCUAAAAAUAUCUGACUUAGUUGUUUCUAAACCCUGGGGCACCCUUAGGAAAAAAUAAAAAUAAAAAAACAAGUGCCUGGGCCUCAUCACUUGGUUGAAAAAGGUCUGCUGCCAGAUCUUGACAUUGAUAUUUUUCUAAGUUUCCAAAGUCAUUUUAAUGUGUAGACAAGAAGUUCUGUUUCUCAUUUGUAGGAAGAAUUUGGUUCCCCAUCACCUCAGAAAAGUAAUUAUGUAUCACAGACCGUUAACAGUUUUCCCAAUAACCAACUAUGCAUUCACCCUCUAAGAAUUUAUCUAAAUUAAUCUUGGGGCCAGGUGGGGGGGCUCACACCUGUAAUCCCAGCACUUUGGGAGGCCGAGGAGGGCGGAGUUCAAGACCAGCCUAGGCAACGUGGUGAAACCCCAUCUCUACUAAAAAAAACAUACAAAAAUUAGCCCGGCGUGGGGUUGCGCGCCUGCAGUCACGGCUACUCUACUCAGGAGGCUGAGGCAGGAGAAUCGCUUGAACCCGGGAGGCGGAGGUUGCAGUGAGCCGAGGUGGCGCCACUGCACUCCAGCCUCUGAUGGAGUGAGACUGUCACAAUCAAUCAUUCAAUCAAUCAAUAUUGAACCUACUUAAAGUUAUUCAACCUCUGUUAUCCUUUGCUUCAAAGGAGUUU
RNAcentral lists this long non-coding RNA (1387 nucleotides) under Homo sapiens (human). RNAcentral describes it as "non-protein coding FOCAD-AS1:4". Lineage: Eukaryota; Metazoa; Chordata; Mammalia; Primates; Hominidae. The record is from RNAcentral.